UGCUAGUCGCGUGCUUCAGCCAAAACGAGGCACGGCAAACAGCUCAGUAACACGUGGCUAAUCUGCCCUUGGGAUAGGAACAACCCCGGGAAACUGGGGCUAAUUCCCAAUAGGUGAAGAACUCUGGAAUGAGUCUUUGCCAGAAAAGAGCUUACGUUAUGCUCGUAAGUUUCGCCCAAGGAUGAGGCCGCGACCGAUCAGGUUGUUGGUGAGGUAAUGGCUCACCAAGCCUUUUACCGGUGCGGGCCGUGAGAGCGGGAGCCCGGAGAUGGGCACUGAGACAAGGGCCCAGGCCCUACGGGGCGCAGCAGUCGCGAAAACUUUGCAAUACACGAAAGUGUGACAGGGCUAUCCCGAGUGCCAUCCGCUGAGGAAGGCUCUUACCCAGUCUAGAAAGCUGGGGGAAUAAGGAGAGGGCAAGUCUGGUGUCAGCCGCCGCGGUAAUACCAGCUCUCCGAGUGGUGUGGAUGUUUAUUGGGCCUAAAGCAUCCGUAGCUGGCUAAGUUAGUCCUUUGUUAAAUCCACCGAAUUAAUCGUUGGAUUGCGGGGGAUACUGCUUGGCUAGGGGACGAGAGAGGCAGACGGUAUUUCCGGGGUAGGGGUGAAAUCCUAUAAUCCCGGGAAGACCACCAGUGGCGAAGGCUGUCUGCUAGAACGCGCCCGACGGUGAGGGAUGAAAGCUGGGGGAGCGAACCGGAUUAGAUACCCGGGUAGUCCCAGCUGUAAACGAUGCAGGCUAGGUGUUUGGACGGCCACGUGCCGUUCUAGUGCCGCAGGAAAGCUGUUAAGCCUGCCGCCUGGGGAGUACGAUCGCAAGAUUGAAACUUAA
RNAcentral lists this ribosomal RNA (829 nucleotides) under uncultured crenarchaeote. RNAcentral's name for it is "bacterial SSU rRNA". It matches the Rfam family "Archaeal small subunit ribosomal RNA", at positions 52 to 859 of the family's 1478-position model. Lineage: Archaea; Thermoproteati; Thermoproteota. The record is from RNAcentral.